This 746-nucleotide long non-coding RNA is filed under the name Heterocephalus glaber (naked mole-rat). Its description in RNAcentral is "lncRNA (ENSHGLG00100029934.2)". The record is from RNAcentral. Lineage: Eukaryota; Metazoa; Chordata; Mammalia; Rodentia; Bathyergidae.
CUAAACAAGACAAGAUGGAGGGAAAUAGAAGUGAAGUCUGAAAAAUCAACAGUGCAACAGAAGAUACUCAAAAUAUAAGAUCAGAAGAUGGUAGAAUGGUGUGCAGCAGAGGAAGCCUCUCUGAGAUUUGGUGUCCUGACAUUGGAAUAUAGUGGCGUGAGGAGGAGGAAAGUGGGUCUCCAGGACCUAAGAAGGAUCUGAAGCAAGAAUUGAAGUCCAUGGGGAGAGCAAAGAGAGAGACUUUAAUGAAGAGGAGGGAGAUGGCAAGCAGCGCUUCCUCCCACAUCCCAGACUCAUGGUGUGGGAAUGGCAGCUCGAACCUGCAGAUGUAUGGUGACUACUGGCGACCCCAGAGGCCUACACAGAAAAACACACUAGUGGAACAGAGUAGGGGAAACAGCAGACUGCAGUGGCUGGACAUGUGAGUACUGAGAAGUAUCCCAGAAGACAUCAUGCAUUCCAACUUCCCCUUUAUAUUCAGAUCAGAUUGAUGUAAUAAGCCCAGCUAUGGAAUUCCGAGACAUAAUUCCAUUUUGGCCUCCAGUCACAAUUGAGACCUCAAUGAUCCGGUGAUGCUCCAGGACAAGAAACAUCCUGGGAGCUGAAAACAUCCUGGGAGGAACAAACAUCUGCUCAGUUCCUCGUUGUUCUUGGAUUGUUACAUUUUAUUUACACAGGAUGUACUGAACUCUCUGCAAGUCAUAUGUUACAUUUGUUUCUCCCGAUGUACUGAAUAAAAGGUGGGG